UGCUUUUGGCUCGAUGAAAAGAAAUAUAUGUAUCCAAAUAUGUUACUUCUGAAUUAUAGGUCAUAAUUGGUUAUACUAAAGAAUCAAAAAGAUUAUUUGCUACUUUUAUAGGUAGAUUAUUCAAUGAUUUAGUAUAUGAUUUUAUUGCAAAAAAUACUUUUUUUGCUUUUUUUGUCAGCUCUAAAGUACUUUGUGAUAAAUUUCCAUUACAUUUUAUCAACCAUUGUGGAGGGAAAUAUCAAAUGCACAUUUUAUGAAAUAGUAAAACAAGCAUUAGUUAAUCUCCAUUUUUGUGUUAAUUAACAGUAAACAUUGUUCAUAUAAAAUAUUUAUGUAAAGCGCUAAAUGGAAAUUGUUCCAAUAGACAACUUUCGAGUUCGAUGCAUUUCCGUCAAAAACUCUGGUUUUAGUGAACGUCAUUUGUGCGUUUAGGGGCGUCGUCACUUCCGUUUCAAUGUUGAGCGAGUGGUUGGAAAACUAUAAUUCUAUAUUGUACGAAUUAUUCAGCAAAUUAAAUUCUCAAAAUUGACAAUCAGCACUGCUGUCAUUAGGGAAUUGUCAUUAAGUACCUACAGAACAACCAUUAUUUCUAGUUUAUCCUGCACAACGACGAUCACUAAGACGCUUGAUGAACGUAAAUAGUGCAGGGAUACAGGCGAUCCCCUCUAUCUGGUAAAUGACGUCAUAAAGGCGCGCAUAAUUGACGAGUUUUUGCCGGUGACGGAUGAACUCAAAAGUGGUCUAUUGUGAUAGUUUUUCCCCUGCAUUCAAUUACUGACAAAUGUUAUCCCCAAUGAAGGCCUAAUGACGUAGUAUAAUGUCAGCAAAAACAUUAUUCUUUGACAGAAAGCAGUGGCAGAUCCAGGAAGGGGAGGGGUUUCAAGGUAUUGGAUUUUGAAUUGGGACAUAUGGUUUGAACACACACACACACAUUCAUCCUGGGUUUGAAACCCACCUUUUAAAAAUGGCUGGGUCUAGCUGCCACUGGAAAGUUUACAAUUACAAUCAUGGGUAUUGCACAUGUACAUGAAGCCUAAUUUAAAGGUAUAAGUUUUGAAAGGAAAUAACUACUUUUGUCCUGAUAUCCAAAAUGGGUUUUCCGCUAUUAAAAAAUAAACAUUUAUUUGAAGAUGACUUUUUUUAAAUACUAAUUUCUCAGUAAUCAAUUAACAAAUGUUAAUAUUUUCAAAAAUGAUGCAUUAGUUUUAAAACCAAAUUGAUCAUUGAAACUUGAAACUUGAUUUCAGCAAAAAAGGUUUUAACACUUUUGACCUGAUAUUUGUUUAUUUGCAUUUUCACUUUUAAAUUUUAAAUACUUUGAUUCUUAAUGAUGUCAGGUUUUUAAAAAACAGGGUUGUUUGCAGAAGGUUGUUUUUUAUUAUUAAUAUGUUAAUUUUUCAGGGCAUCUUCAUGUUUUUCAUUGAAACUGUUUAAGUUUUCAAGAAUUAUACCCACUUUAUUUAUUUAUGCUGUUAUAUUAAUUUUAUUAUUAAAACUUUAUGGUAAAUCUAUAUAUAUACAUGCCUAUCUGUGAUUAUAAGAAUGAAUUUUAUGGUAAUCUAUAUAUAUACAUGCCUAUCUGUGAUUAUAAGAAUGAAUUUCAUUAAACACCUCAUAUAUGUGCUAUUUUGAAAUCUUAUUUUAAAUGUAUGAUCUUAUUUUCCUUUAAUGAUCUCUUCUACAAAUGACAUUUUAAACAACUAUUUUGACAUAUAACCAUAUGAAUAUAUUAUACUUAUACCAAAGACCAAAAUUCAUACUGCAUAGCAAUGGUUUUUAAGUGUUUGAAUAAUGUAGCACCUGCAUAUUUAUAUAACUAUUUUAAGUUGUUCAGUUGUUAAUAAAUAGGCAUUACGGAUGUUUGCUUGUCAUGUUUUGGAAUUUUUGUCAGAUUUUCGAAAUCCUCUGGUUUUAUCCAUUUGAAUGCCUUUAAAAAAUUUGAUAUAUAUAAUGGUAUGGUGUUGUCGUCUGCGUCGUCGUUGGAAGACACAUUGGUUUCCGGACAAUAACUUUAGUUUGAGUUAAAAGAUCUUUAUGCAUUUUUUUCUAGAAGGUUUAAUACCACUAAAUGAAGCCUGGGAUUAAUUUUGGGGAUGAUUGCCCCAACCGUAUAGAAAUUAGCGGCCCAAAAGGGGCCCAAAACUAGCAUUUUUCUAGUUUCAGGAUAAUAAUUUGUGUAUAGAUAUUUCUAUUGCUCUGAAAUUGUACCACAAUGCUAAAUACAACAAGUAGAAGGUUGGGAUUCUUUUUAUGGGUUAUGGGGCAACAAAUUUAGGAAUUAAGGGCCAAAAAGGGGCCCAAAACCAGUAUUUUUAGCUCACCUGGCCCGAAGGGCCAAGUGAGCUUUUCUCAUCACUUGGCGUCAGGCUUCCGGCGUCGUCCGGCGUCGUCCGUCGUCGUUAACUUUUACAAAAAUCUUCUCCUCUGAAACAACUGGGCCAAAUUUAACCAAACUUGGCCACAAUCAUCAUUGGGGU
This 2477-nucleotide long non-coding RNA is filed under the name Mytilus galloprovincialis (Mediterranean mussel). Lineage: Eukaryota; Metazoa; Mollusca; Bivalvia; Mytilida; Mytilidae. The record is from RNAcentral.